This 216-nucleotide ribosomal RNA is filed under the name Campeiostachys nutans. Its description in RNAcentral is "Elymus nutans partial small subunit ribosomal RNA". The stretch from base 87 to 216 matches the Rfam family "Eukaryotic small subunit ribosomal RNA", at positions 733 to 864 of the family's 1831-position model. Lineage: Eukaryota; Viridiplantae; Streptophyta; Magnoliopsida; Poales; Poaceae. RNAcentral also lists the same sequence under 3 other names. The record is from RNAcentral.
GGAUCAUCAGGUUGGUCGUGCCACUGGUAUGUACUUGCCUCGGUGGUCCCUCCCUCUUGAAGAACCGUAAUGCCAUUAAUUUGGUGUUGCGGGGAAUCAGGACUGUUACUUUGAAAAAAUUAGAGUGUUUAAAGCAGGCAAACGCUUGAAUACAUUAGCAUGGAAUAAUGAAAUAGGACGUUUGAUCUUAUUUUGUUGGUUUCUAGGAUCGACGUA